AUACGGAGGGUGCAAGCGUUACUCGGAAUCACUGGGCGUAAAGCGCGCGCAGGCGGGCUGAUAAGUUGGAUGUGAAAGCCUACGGCUCAACCGUAGAACUGCAUCCAAAACUGUCAGUCUAGAGUCUGGGAGGGGAAGAUGGAAUUAGUUGUGUAGGGGUAAAAUCCGUAGAGAUAACUAGGAAUACCAAAAGCGAAGGCGAUCUUCUGGAACAGUACUGACGCUGAGGCGCAAAAGCGUGGGGAGCAAACAGGAUUAGAAACCCUAGUAGUCC
Molecule: ribosomal RNA, 274 nt
Filed under: uncultured bacterium
Lineage: Bacteria
Description: partial 16S ribosomal RNA
Rfam family: Bacterial small subunit ribosomal RNA
Source: RNAcentral